This 498-nucleotide long non-coding RNA is filed under the name Ananas comosus (pineapple). RNAcentral describes it as "long non-coding RNA (ACOM_LNC007070)". Lineage: Eukaryota; Viridiplantae; Streptophyta; Magnoliopsida; Poales; Bromeliaceae. The record is from RNAcentral.
CUGUCACGCCCCGGGACCGAUGCCAAUUUGGCCCGACCCGAGCACGUCAAACAGACGCCGAACGGACAGAGUUUCCCCUAUCCGCCCAAGGCUCAUCACAUGUACAUUUUCAUCAAUAGAGAAAAGCACUAGCGGAAACAUACACAAACGGCUUACACGAGGGUAAGCAAUAGCCAUCAGUGAAAGAAAAAGGAAACUAAACAUUUACGAGUAACAUGAUUCAUUUUGGAUCAUAUACAUUGCAUUCAUCUAGUAAUUUUGAAUUCUUUGCAUUCCAUUACAUAACUUCAUCAUUUCUUUCUUACAUCACAUUUUCCUCAAAAUGAGCUUUACAUUCUUUUCUUUACAUUACUAUCAUCAAAUACAAAAGAUGAUCAUAAGGUACUUUACUAACAAAAUAUAACCCAACUUUGGUGGCCUCUGUCUAAGGCGCGAUACCUUUACCUCGGUCGCUCGCCGGCUCGCUCGGUCCCGGCUCUGUGGAAAUAGUGGGGUGAG